Triticum aestivum (bread wheat) is the source of this 135-nucleotide non-coding RNA. The record is from Rfam. NCBI's taxonomy places the organism in Eukaryota, Viridiplantae, Streptophyta, Magnoliopsida, Poales, Poaceae.
UACAUACUCCCUCCGUCUGGAAAUACUUGUCAUCAAAAUGGAUAGAAGGGGAUGUAUCUAGAUGUAUUUUAGUUCUAUAUACAUCCCUUUUUAUCCAUUUUGAUGGCAAGUAUUUUCGGACGGAGGGAGUAAGCA